This 429-nucleotide ribosomal RNA is filed under the name Chloroflexota bacterium. RNAcentral describes it as "Chloroflexi bacterium partial 16S ribosomal RNA". It matches the Rfam family "Bacterial small subunit ribosomal RNA", at positions 355 to 776 of the family's 1533-position model. Lineage: Bacteria; Bacillati; Chloroflexota. The record is from RNAcentral.
UGGGGAAUAUUGCACAAUGGGCGCAAGCCUGAUGCAGCCAUGCCGCGUGUGUGAAGAAGGCCUUCGGGUUGUAAAGCACUUUCAGCGGGGAGGAAGGCGUUAAGGUUAAUAACCUUGGCGAUUGACGUUACCCGCAGAAGAAGCACCGGCUAACUCCGUGCCAGCAGCCGCGGUAAUACGGAGGGUGCAAGCGUUAAUCGGAAUUACUGGGCGUAAAGCGCACGCAGGCGGUCUGUCAAGUCGGAUGUGAAAUCCCCGGGCUCAACCUGGGAACUGCAUUCGAAACUGGCAGGCUAGAGUCUUGUAGAGGGGGGUAGAAUUCCAGGUGUAGCGGUGAAAUGCGUAGAGAUCUGGAGGAAUACCGGUGGCGAAGGCGGCCCCUUGGACAAAGACUGACGCUCAGGUGCGAAAGCGUGGGGAGCAAACAGG